GGUUGGCCAUGUUCGUGGAUUGCAGAGCUUCUCGCUGCCUGAGCUGCCUUGCGACUAUGGUGCUCUGGAGCCAGAGAUUAGCGGAGAGAUCAUGCAACUCCACCAUCAGAAGCACCACCAGACCUACAUCACCAACUACAACAAGGCGCUCGAGCAGCUCGAGCAGGCCCUCGCCAAGGCCGAUUCCUCUUCCAUCGUCCAAUUGCAGAGCGCCAUCAAAUUCAACGGCGGAGGUCAUAAAAAUCACUCGAUUUUUUGGAAGAAUCUCACACCCGUUAGAGUAAGUGCCUUAGCCUUUGUCAUCUCUACCUUUGUUAAUCGAAUUCCAUUAAUCUCACGCAGAGCAAACCAAAAGGGCCGGGGUCAAAAGAGAGUUCGGGAUUUUGCAUCUUCGGAUUGAAUUAAGUACAUCACACAUUUCAAGACGUCAGACUGAAGAUCUGAAGGGUCGCGUGUUCGAUCCACGCUCACCCACCCAAGUAAAUGAUCUUUUAUCUUCUUCUUUUUUUUUCUUUUUUUUUUUUUUGACACGUAAGUGAUCUUUUUUAUAUUUCAUUUUUUCUGAAACCCGCUAAUGUGUAA
This is a long non-coding RNA of Quercus robur (English oak), 582 nucleotides long. RefSeq lists it as uncharacterized. The record is from RefSeq and is a predicted model, not a curated record. Lineage: Eukaryota; Viridiplantae; Streptophyta; Magnoliopsida; Fagales; Fagaceae. The transcript has 3 exons.